Molecule: non-coding RNA, 466 nt
Organism: Coffea arabica (coffee)
Lineage: Eukaryota; Viridiplantae; Streptophyta; Magnoliopsida; Gentianales; Rubiaceae
Source: RefSeq, a predicted model, not a curated record
UUUGAUAGCCUUUGACAUGCACUCGUCCUUUUGUUGUAUUUCAGGAAAUAAAGGCUUUUGUGAGACAUGAAUGAGGAUUGUCAAGCUAAUUGAAAGCUAUGACAAAGACACUAACAAUCGAAUUUUAUGGUGGGGUUAAGAUCUGUUGCUAAUGAAGAGGAAUCUGCUGGUGCGGUUGUGAGAGGAGGUGGUGAAGACAUUUCUUCACCAGGCAAGACUGAAUGGGCAUCAGAAGAACUUCUGGAAUUUGUUGUGCACAUGAAAAAUGGUGAUAAAUCUGUUCUGUCUCAAUUUGAUGUUCAGGCUCUCCUGCUUGAAUAUAUCAGACAACUUUUAUGUAGCACUGCAGUGACUUCAGCAAUAUAUUUGAAUCAGCCAUUCUGCUGUAUAUGUAAAUGGUACCAAACAAUUCUUGUACAAUAUUCCAAUGACUUUAUUCUUUUGAAUUAUAGCAUUGUAUCAACCA